Molecule: ribosomal RNA, 253 nt
Filed under: uncultured bacterium
Lineage: Bacteria
Description: partial 16S ribosomal RNA
Rfam family: Bacterial small subunit ribosomal RNA
Source: RNAcentral
UACAGAGGGUGCAAGCGUUAAUCGGAAUUACUGGGCGUAAAGCGUGCGUAGACGGUUGCGUAAGUCAGAUGUGAAAGCCCCGGGCUCAACCUGGGAAUUGCAUUUGAGACUGCGUAGCUAGGGUGCGGAAGAGGGAAGCGGAAUUUCCGGUGUAGCGGUGAAAUGCGUAGAUAUCGGAAGGAACACCUAUGGCGAAGGCAGCUCGCUGGGACGUUACUGACGCUGAGACGCGAAAGCGUGGGGAGCAAACAGG